Molecule: transfer RNA, 96 nt
Filed under: Candidatus Methanoperedens nitratireducens
Lineage: Archaea; Methanobacteriati; Methanobacteriota; Methanomicrobia; Methanosarcinales; Candidatus Methanoperedentaceae
Description: Candidatus Methanoperedens nitroreducens tRNA
Rfam family: tRNA
About the family: Transfer RNA (tRNA) molecules are approximately 80 nucleotides in length. Their secondary structure includes four short double-helical elements and three loops (D, anti-codon, and T loops).
Source: Rfam by way of RNAcentral
GCCUCGGUGGCUUAGGGGUAUAGCGCGUCCUUGGUAACCGGCACUGAAUGCAGGACAAUCAGGACGAGGUCGAGGGUUCAAAUCCCUCCCGGGGCU